This 497-nucleotide ribosomal RNA is filed under the name uncultured bacterium. RNAcentral describes it as "partial 16S ribosomal RNA". It matches the Rfam family "Bacterial small subunit ribosomal RNA", at positions 28 to 507 of the family's 1533-position model. The record is from RNAcentral.
GACGAACGCUGGCGGCGUGCCUAAUACAUGCAAGUUGAGCGAUGAAGAUUGGUGCUUGCACCAAUUUGAAGAGCAGCGAACGGGUGAGUAACGCGUGGGGAAUCUGCCUUUGAGCGGGGGACAACAUUUGGAAACGAAUGCUAAUACCGCAUAACAACUUUAAACAUAAGUUUUAAGUUUGAAAGAUGCAAUUGCAUCACUCAAAGAUGAUCCCGCGUUGUAUUAGCUAGUUGGUGAGGUAAAGGCUCACCAAGGCGAUGAUACAUAGCCGACCUGAGAGGGUGAUCGGCCACAUUGGGACUGAGACACGGCCCAAACUCCUACGGGAGGCAGCAGUAGGGAAUCUUCGGAAAUGGACGAAAGUCUGACCGAGCAACGCCGCGUGAGUGAAGAAGGGUUUCGGAUCGUAAAACUCGGUUGGUAGAGAAGAACGUUGGUGAGAGUGGAAAGCUCAUCAAGUGACGGUAACUACCCAGAAAGGGACGGCUAACUACGUG